This 488-nucleotide ribosomal RNA is filed under the name uncultured bacterium. RNAcentral's name for it is "bacterial SSU rRNA". It matches the Rfam family "Bacterial small subunit ribosomal RNA", at positions 28 to 512 of the family's 1533-position model. The record is from RNAcentral.
GAUGAACGCUAGCGGCAGGCUUAAUACAUGCAAGUCGAGGGGCAGCAGGGAUAGCAAUAUUCGCUGGCGACCGGCGCACGGGUGCGCAACACGUAUACAAUCUGCCUUUUACAGGGGGAUAGCCUUUCGAAAGAGAGAUUAAUACCCCAUAAUAGUUGACCGGGCAUCUGGUUGAUUUGAAAGCUCCGGCGGUAAGAGAUGAGUAUGCGCCUGAUUAGCUAGUAGGUGAGGUAACGGUUCACCUAGGCUACGAUCAGUAGGGGAUCUGAGAGGACUAACCCCCACACGGAUACUGAGACACGGAUCCGACUCCUACGGGAAGCAGCAGUAAGGAAUAUUGGACAAUGCCCGCAAGGGUGAUCCAGCCAUGCCGCGUGCAGGAAGAAGGCCCUAUGGGUCGUAAACUGCUUUUACACCGGAGAAAACCUCCCCUCGUGAGGGGAGCUGAUAGUAUGGUGAGAAUAAGCAUCGGCUAACUUCGUGCCAGC